This 211-nucleotide ribosomal RNA is filed under the name uncultured bacterium. RNAcentral describes it as "partial 16S ribosomal RNA". It matches the Rfam family "Bacterial small subunit ribosomal RNA", at positions 1290 to 1500 of the family's 1533-position model. The record is from RNAcentral.
AGUUCGGAUUGCAGGCUGCAACCCGCCUGCAUGAAGUUGGAAUCGCUAGUAAUCGCGGAUCAGCAUGCCGCGGUGAAUACGUUCCCGGGCCUUGUACACACCGCCCGUCACACCAUGAGAGUCGGGAACACCCGAAGUCCGUAGUCUAACCGCAAGGAGGGCGCGGCCGAAGGUGGGUUCGAUAAUUGGGGUGAAGUCGUAACAAGGUAGC